UACGUAGGGACCAAGCGUUGUUCGGAUUUACUGGGCGUAAAGGGCGCGUAGGCGGCCACCGCAAGUCGACUGUGAAAUCUCCGGGCUUAACUCGGAAAGGUCAGCCGAUACUGCAGGGCUAGAGUCCGGAGGAGGCGAGUGGAAUUCCUGGUGUAGCGGUGGAAUGCGCAGAUAUCAGGAGGAACACCAUAGCGAAGGCAGCUCGCUGGGACGGUACUGACGCUAAGGCGCGAAAGCGUGGGGAGCGAACAGG
This 253-nucleotide ribosomal RNA is filed under the name uncultured bacterium. RNAcentral's name for it is "partial 16S ribosomal RNA". It matches the Rfam family "Bacterial small subunit ribosomal RNA", at positions 524 to 776 of the family's 1533-position model. The record is from RNAcentral.